GAGGAGAUCUAAGCAGCGUUCCCACAGCCCCCUCUAGAUUCUUGGAGUUCCGCAGAGCUUACUAUACGCGGUCUGUCCUAAUCUUUGUGGUGUUCGCUAUCUCUUGUGUCAAAUCUGGUGAACGCUACGCUUACAUAUAUUGUCUUUGUGCUGCUGUGUGACAAACGCAAUGCAAAAACAAUCCUCUUUCUCUCUCUUAAUGCAUGAUACAGAAUAAUAAUAAGAAUUUCAUCUUUAAAUGAGUAAGAGAAAUAA
RNAcentral lists this long non-coding RNA (255 nucleotides) under Homo sapiens (human). Its description in RNAcentral is "long non-coding RNA NONHSAT039729". The record is from RNAcentral. Lineage: Eukaryota; Metazoa; Chordata; Mammalia; Primates; Hominidae.